GAAUGGUUAGGAAUUAAAAGCCAACACCACUGGGUUAAAGUUAAUAUUGGACUGCGUCAGCCAAGCAACGAAGAAAUCCCACGGCAACCUCAAGUGUUGUUUUUGUCAACACACCCGUGGCAGUACUGAAAAUAGAAACCUGGUCGAGGGACAACAAAGGGAUUUCACAGGUUCAUAGCAUGUGUGUAGCUUAAUGAACCGUGAUUACGAUGAAGCCUUUAUCUUUCAAGAUCACCUCUGACUUCUUUCUGCUGUGCGUUUUCCUGAGUCUGCUUUGGCUCCCCGUAGUGCAGGAGGUUUCAGAACGGUUACACAAAAUGACACCAGUAUAACUCUGCGGUGGGAUAAAGUGGACGCCAUCCUCAACUACGCACUUGAGUUCAAUGGAAAGGAGAUUCAUGUCACUGCAUCAGCUGAUUCUGAAGUGCAACACACAAUCUCAGGACUCACAAGUGGAACUAAAUACAACUUCCAGCUCUUCACUGUGUUUGAAGGUGUCAGAAGCACUGGAGUAGACCUCACUGCAGUCACAGCUCCCCGUAUUGCAGGAGGUUUCAGAACAGUUACACAAAAUGAGACCAGUAUAACUCUGCGGUGGGAUAAAGUGGACGCCAUCCUCAACUACGCACUUGAGUUCAAUGGAAAGGAGAUUCAUGUCACUGCAUCAGCUGAUCCUGAAGUGCAAUACACAAUCUCAGGACUCACAAGUGGAACUAAAUACAACUUCCAGCUCUUCACUGUGUUUGCAGGUGUCAGAAGCACUGGAGUAGAACUCACUGCAGUCACAGGUGAGAUGUUAGAACUCUUAUACAGGCAAUUAUAAUAUGUCAUAUAAAGUGUAUAAAUACAACUUGUUAUUUCUAUUUGAGAAGAAGAACUACACCAAAUACAAGAUUUGAUACAGGAUAUCCUGUCAAGAUGUUUUCUGUCUGUAAAAGUGUGGACUUCAAUGUUUCUCUGCGCCUGGGGUGUGGCUAAUGUAUUUGACUGUUGCCGAUAAAAUGCAGGAGGAAAAAACCUACA
Long non-coding RNA from Eleginops maclovinus (Patagonian blennie), 1023 nucleotides. RefSeq lists it as uncharacterized. NCBI's taxonomy places the organism in Eukaryota, Metazoa, Chordata, Actinopteri, Perciformes, Eleginopidae. The record is from RefSeq and is a predicted model, not a curated record. The transcript is spliced from 3 exons.